This 185-nucleotide ribosomal RNA is filed under the name uncultured Bacteroidota bacterium. RNAcentral's name for it is "uncultured Bacteroidetes bacterium partial 16S ribosomal RNA". It matches the Rfam family "Bacterial small subunit ribosomal RNA", at positions 121 to 306 of the family's 1533-position model. The record is from RNAcentral. Lineage: Bacteria; Pseudomonadati; Bacteroidota.
GCAACCUACCUUCCACAGGGGGAUAGCCUUCCGAAAGUGAGAUUAAUACCGCAUAACAUCAUUUGAGGGCAUCCGAAGAUGAUCAAAGCUUUGGCGGUGGAAGAUGGGCAUGCGUGCCAUUAGUUAGUUGGUAGGGUAACGGCCUACCAAGACUUCGAUGGCUAGGGGUUCUGAGAGGAUGGUCC